AUUCCCCUAGUAACGGCGAGUGAAGAGGGAAGAGCCCAAGAUUGAAAGCUGGCGUCUUCGGCGUCCGCAUUGUAAUCUCAAGAAGUGUUUUCCGCUUCGGACCAAGCCUAAGUCCCUUGGAAAAGGGCAUCAUAGAGGGUGAUAAUCCCGUACAUGGCUUGGAGCGCCCGAGGCUUUGUGAUACGCUUUCUAAGAGUCGAGUUGUUUGGGAAUGCAGCUCAAAAUGGGUGGUAAAUGCCAUCUAAGGCUAAAUAUUGGGGAGAGACCGAUAGCGAACAAGUACAGUGAUGGAAAGAUGAAAAGAACUUUGAAAAGAGAGUUAAACAGUACGUGAAAUUGCCAAAAGGGAAGGGUAGGAGGUCAGAGAUGCGGCCUGGGAUUCAGCCUUGCUUUUGCUUGGUGUUUUUCCCAGAUUGCAGGCCAACGUCGGUUUUGGGCACUGGAGAAGGGUAGGAGGAACGUGGCACCCCUCGGGGUGUGUUAUAGCCUCCUACUGGAUACAGCGACCGAGACCGAGGACAGCAGCGUACUCGUAAGAGCGGGCCCUCGGGCACCUUUACGCUUAGGGCGUUGGCAUAAUGGCCCUCUACCACCCGUCUUGA
This 602-nucleotide ribosomal RNA is filed under the name Moesziomyces parantarcticus. RNAcentral describes it as "LSU rRNA". It matches the Rfam family "Eukaryotic large subunit ribosomal RNA", at positions 74 to 657 of the family's 3401-position model. Lineage: Eukaryota; Fungi; Basidiomycota; Ustilaginomycetes; Ustilaginales; Ustilaginaceae. The record is from RNAcentral.